Mastomys coucha (southern multimammate mouse) is the source of this 1723-nucleotide long non-coding RNA. RefSeq lists it as uncharacterized. Lineage: Eukaryota; Metazoa; Chordata; Mammalia; Rodentia; Muridae. The record is from RefSeq and is a predicted model, not a curated record. The transcript is spliced from 3 exons.
GGGGGAUACCACGGGAUGGAGGGUGGGCCAAACCUGGGAGGACUGAGAAGUGAGUAUAAUUGGGGUGCACUACAUGAACUCCCAGUCAAUGAAAAUACUAUGUUGGAAAAAAUAUUAUACAUGGGGGGAGUUUUCUGUUCUUCUUGUCUCAGACAAGAAAUCCAAGCCCAGUUCAGUGCAUGAUAAAGAAAGGUGUUGCCAGCUUUUGUCUUUGGAGCACACAGUACUUUUGCUGCUGGGGAAUGGGGAUGGUGAGCAGCCAGCAGGUAAGCCUUACCCUCAGCUUUUGCUUAUGUGAGAAAUAAGCUUUAACUGUACAGAGCCAUUAAGAAUUCAGAUUUUGGUAAUACCGCCAUAAGCUACGUUGUGUAAACAAGCGUUAUCUGCUUUUCAUGACUGAUGCCGGAGGAGAUUACGAGAGGCAGGCAGGAUCCUGCAAACUGCCUUCAUGCUCUGUGAGUUUUGUGAGUAGUGCAUAAAAUGGCCAAAGGCAUUUAUAGAUUUUGGGAGUCUUGAAAUAUGAGGAACUUCUGGUGUCAAUUCUUUUCAGCUUCAAGAUCAUUCUUUGCCCAGGCUAGCCUCGAACUUUCUCUUUUAAGAUUUACUUAUUUUACUUUAUCUAUAUGAAAGUAUACGUAUUCUGUACACAUUCUGAGGCAGCUCUCAAAACAAGACUUUGGGGAGAACAUACUUCCGCCUUAGCUAAUGCCAAUCUGUUUUCUUCUCAAAUCACCUUUUACAAUCCCGAGCUAUAUGAACUAUGACAUAAACACAGUAGAGGUGCGCCAAACAUACGCAUCACUGAGUGAACAGACAUGCCAAACUCUCACUGAGUCAUGAGAACAUUGCCAACCUUGGAGUGAGUGACGCCCUCAGGGUUCUCUGAGCUCUGUUCAGCUCUGUCUUAGGAUGCUCCAUUAGGAGCAACUGAAACAGUGAGUCCCUGCUGGGGACACUGAGGCACAGUAUUCUCAGAAGAACGAGGGAAAGGUCAGAAAGCAAGGGAACAGCUGAAGAACACAGCCACCGAUGAGCAUUUUUUGACUAAAUGCCAGGCACCGUGAAUCUCAUCUUGUUGGUGCAUGUGCCACAUAUCUGGCUUAGUUGGACUAUCAAGGAGAGCCUCCACUCCAAACUACAGAGCAGACAAGAAACAGGUGGGAGAAGACGGCAUCCUGGGUGCUGGACAAUGCCAGGAAAUGCCAGAGACCAUGUGCAGCAACACCAGCAAGCCUUGAGGGUGAAGGCAAGUUACACAACAGGAUCCACCAUAUCAUCUUAACUGAAAGACCACAAUAUGCCAGCUCCCUUCCAGCCACACGGAAAACCAAAGUCUCACAGGCUACAUGUGAUUCCACAAAAGGAAUAUAAAAGAAGGGGUUACUGGGCUCUAUUUUUUCCCUACUGGUUUUGAGUCUCAUCAUGAUGUCCAAGCUGGCCCUGAACAUCUCGUCUUCCUGUCUUGGCCUCCCACACUUUGGCAGUUCUGGGUGAGCAUCGUCCCAGCCUAUGUUUCCUCCCACUCUGACCUAACCACAGGCCCAGCAGGCCUUCCAAGGAAGAACUAAAAUUACAGCAAAGCAGAGCUGACAAAACCCAAAUGUUUAAGACUAUCAAACUGUCCAAGGCCUUCCUAUAAACAAUAGGUUUCUUCUCCAAGAGAAAAAUCUUGUUAAAAAAUGUGGAUUUAUACACAUAAAACUGUAAUGGUUUCACUCCCAAA